Molecule: ribosomal RNA, 663 nt
Filed under: uncultured Pseudomonadota bacterium
Lineage: Bacteria; Pseudomonadati; Pseudomonadota
Description: bacterial SSU rRNA
Rfam family: Bacterial small subunit ribosomal RNA
Source: RNAcentral
UAACAGGAAGCAGCUUGCUGCUUCGCUGACGAGUGGCGGACGGGUGAGUAAUGUCUGGGAAACUGCCUGAUGGAGGGGGAUAACUACUGGAAACGGUAGCUAAUACCGCAUAACGUCGCAAGACCAAAGAGGGGGACCUUCGGGCCUCUUGCCAUCGGAUGUGCCCAGAUGGGAUUAGCUAGUAGGUGGGGUAACGGCUCACCUAGGCGACGAUCCCUAGCUGGUCUGAGAGGAUGACCAGCCACACUGGAACUGAGACACGGUCCAGACUCCUACGGGAGGCAGCAGUGGGGAAUAUUGCACAAUGGGCGCAAGCCUGAUGCAGCCAUGCCGCGUGUAUGAAGAAGGCCUUCGGGUUGUAAAGUACUUUCAGCGGGGAGGAAGGGAGUAAAGUUAAUACCUUUGCUCAUUGACGUUACCCGCAGAAGAAGCACCGGCUAACUCCGUGCCAGCAGCCGCGGUAAUACAGAGGGUGCAAGCGUUAAUCGGAAUUACUGGGCGUAAAGCGCACGCAGGCGGUUUGUUAAGUCAGAUGUGAAAUCCCCGGGCUCAACCUGGGAACUGCAUCUGAUACUGGCAAGCUUGAGUCUCGUAGAGGGGGGUAGAAUUCCAGGUGUAGCGGUGAAAUGCGUAGAGAUCUGGAGGAAUACCGGUGGCGAAGGC